Molecule: long non-coding RNA, 571 nt
Filed under: Salmo salar (Atlantic salmon)
Lineage: Eukaryota; Metazoa; Chordata; Actinopteri; Salmoniformes; Salmonidae
Description: lncRNA (ENSSSAG00000118738.1)
Source: RNAcentral
GUAGAUUGCUGACCAACACACAAUUUCAAUCUUGUUCAAACUAGAUAUAGUUUGUAGAUCUAUAGAUCUAUAGAUAUAUAUAUACAUCCACACUAUAUCAUUUAAAUUGUCUAAUUGUAGGCCCAUAGGCCUAUGACGUAGAAGUACUGUCAACAAAAGUUGUUGUAUUUUCCAGCACAUGCAAAGACAGUGAACUAAACUUGUGUUUGGUGUGUGAAUACAGGUGACCUUGGAGCAUUCAUCAAAGACACCUGAUGAAGCCCUACCCAUCGGAUAAGAGCAGCUGUUCUUUGCUCAGAGGGUAGGAGUGAAAGACUAGAUAUCCUGCUCCUCCAGCGAUGACACCUUCUGCACCUGUGUCGGAGACAGGUAGAUGGUGUUAGAUCCAGGGGUUUGGCCACAGACCGGAGAGGAAAACAGGAGGUCAGAGGAGCAGGAGGCACUCAUAAAGGGAGACUGUUAGUGAGGGGCCCCGCACCUCUAUUUGAUAUAUAGCACAUCGUAAGUCCUUCACUUAACUAAGAUAAGAAUCUGGCCUUCAAAGAUGGGGUCAGUGAGAGAGACUUUGACU